Molecule: ribosomal RNA, 253 nt
Filed under: uncultured bacterium
Lineage: Bacteria
Description: partial 16S ribosomal RNA
Rfam family: Bacterial small subunit ribosomal RNA
Source: RNAcentral
UACGUAGGCAGCAAGCGUUGUUCGGAGUUACUGGGCGUAAAGGGUGCGUAGGCGGUUUGCCAAGUUUGGUGUGAAAUCUCCCGGCUUAACCGGGAGGGUGCGCCGAAAACUGGCAGGCUAGAGUGGGGGAGAGGAGAGUGGAAUUCCUGGUGUAGCGGUGAAAUGCGUAGAUAUCAGGAGGAACACCGGUGGUGUAGACGGCUCUCUGGACCCUAACUGACGCUGAGGCACGAAAGCGUGGGUAGCAAACAGG